This 86-nucleotide transfer RNA is filed under the name Bacillota bacterium. RNAcentral's name for it is "tRNA-Ser". It matches the Rfam family "tRNA". From Rfam's summary of the family: Transfer RNA (tRNA) molecules are approximately 80 nucleotides in length. Their secondary structure includes four short double-helical elements and three loops (D, anti-codon, and T loops). RNAcentral also lists the same sequence under 1 other name. The record is from RNAcentral. Lineage: Bacteria; Bacillati; Bacillota.
GGAGACGUGGCCGAAGGGUAAGGCAUCGGCUUUGAACACCGAGGUCCCUGAACGGGGUGUGGGUUCGAGUCCCGCCGUCUCCGCCA